This 308-nucleotide long non-coding RNA is filed under the name Homo sapiens (human). RNAcentral describes it as "HSALNT0270644". Lineage: Eukaryota; Metazoa; Chordata; Mammalia; Primates; Hominidae. The record is from RNAcentral.
ACCAUAGGACACAGACAGGAAGUGGGGCUGGUGAAGCAAGGUCCUUCGGCUCUGGAGCAGGUGUUGGAGGGCAGGCGAGAGUUGGUGAAUGCUGCCCAGGCCCACUGCCUGACAGAGAGGGGUUACCAGCUCCCUUGCAAGGCAGGCAGGGGUCUCUGCCCAGAGUUCAAAGAAGAGGCAUGAAUGGGACGGACAGGGCAUAAGGUGUAGGAGACAAACUUUUCCUGAGAAGAGGACAACUUAAUCAGGUUCUGGAAAUGGCAACAAUUCAGAUUAAAGAGAUGGGAAUGGACUCUAGCUGUCAGCAA